RNAcentral lists this ribosomal RNA (2916 nucleotides) under Acidaminococcales bacterium. RNAcentral describes it as "23S ribosomal RNA". It matches the Rfam family "Bacterial large subunit ribosomal RNA". Lineage: Bacteria; Bacillati; Bacillota; Negativicutes; Acidaminococcales. The record is from RNAcentral.
AAUCAAGCUAAGAAGGGCAUACGGUGGAUGCCUUGGCGCCAAGAGCCGAAGAAGGACGCGGCAAGCUGCGAAAAGCCACGGGGAGCCGCAAGCGGGCAUUGAGCCGUGGACGUCCGAAUGGGGCAACCCGGCGGCGGUGAAGCGCCGUCACCCGCGCAAGCGGGGGGGAACCCGGGGAAGUGAAACAUCUAAGUACCCGGAGGAAAAGAAAUCAAGCGAGAUUCCCCAAGUAGCGGCGAGCGAACGGGGAAAGGCCCAAACCGGGCGGCCCAGGCCGCCCGGGGUUGAGGACCGGCAAAAAGCGCGCCUUGCCUAGCCGAAGCGGAUGGGAAGCCGCCCCACAGGAGGCAAGAGGCCUGUAGGCGAAAGGCGGGGCGCGCGGGCCGGGAUCCAGAGUACCACGGAGCACGGGAAACUUUGUGGGAAGCAGGGGGGACCACCCUCCAAGGCUAAACACUCCUUGGCGACCGAUAGCGCACAGUACCGUGAGGGAAAGGUGAAAAGAACCCCGGGAGGGGAGUGAAAGAGUGCCUGAAACCGUAUGCCUACAAGCAGUCGGAGCGAAAGCGACGGCGUGCCUAUUGAAGAAUGAACCAACGAGUUGCGCCGGCCAGCGAGGUUAAGUGGGAGACACGGAGCCGAAGCGAAAGCGAGCCCGAACGGGGCGGAAGACAGUUGGCCGGCGCAGGCCCGAAACCACAGUGAUCUAUGCGUGGCCAGAGUGAAGCGCGGGUAAAAGCGCGUGGAGGCUCGAACCCGUGAGCGUUGAAAAGCUCUGGGAUGAGCCGCGCAUAGGGGAGAAAUUCCAAUCGAACGUGGAGAUAGCUGGUUCUCCCCGAAAUAGCUUUAGGGCUAGCCUCAGGCGGCAAAUGCAAACGGUAGAGCACUGACCGGGGAAGGGGCCUUGCAGGUUGCCGAACCCUGUCAAACUGCGAAUGGGUGCAGUGUUGGCCUGGGAGUCAGACCGCGGGUGACAAGACCCGCCGUCGAGAGGGAAACAGCCCGGACCGCCGGCCAAGGUCCCCAAUGCCGUGCUAAGUGGCGAAGGAUGUGGGGGCGCGCAGACAACCAGGAUGUUGGCCCAGAAGCAGCCACCAUUCAAAGAGUGCGUAAUAGCUCACUGGUCGAGUGGCCCCGCGCCGAAGAUGACCGGGGCUCAAGCACGGAACCGAAGCCGCGGCCUUGGGGGCGACCCCAAGGGGUAGGGGAGCGUUCCCAGGGGGGCGAAGCCGCGCCGCGAGGGGCGGUGGACCCCUGGGAAGCGAGAAUGUUGGUAUGAGUAGCGAAAAGGAAGGCGGGAAUCCUUCCCACCGAAAGCCCAAGGUUUCCUGAGCAACGAUCGUCGCCUCAGGGUCAGUCGGGGCCUAAGCCGAGGCAAAGGGCGCAGGCGAUGGACAACAGGCGAAGAUUCCUGUACCGGACGGAGUCGACUGAGCGACGGAGUGACGCAGGAGGGCAGGCGGGCGCCCGGACGGAAGUGGGCGUUCAAGCCCGUAGGGGGGGGGCGAGGCAAACCCCGCCCCCCGAAACCCGAGAGGCGACGACGAGCGACCAGCGAUGGGAGCGAAGCCGCCGCACCCACGCUGCCAAGAAAAGCUCCUGGCGAGACGAAGUCCGCCCGUACCGCAAACCGACACAGGUGGGCGGGGAGAGAAUCCCAAGGUGCGCGGGAGAACCCUCGUUAAGGAACUCGGCAAAAUGUACCCGUAACUUCGGGAAAAGGGUAGCCCGCGCCCGUGUAGGGACGCAACGCCCGAGGCGGGCGCGGGCCGCAGAGAAGAGGCCCAGGCGACUGUUUAACAAAAACACAAGUGCCUGCGAAAGCGCAAGCUCAAGUAUAGGCGCUGACACCUGCCCAGUGCCGGAAGGUUAAGGGAGGGCGUCCGGGCGACCAAAGCGCCCGACCGAAGCCCCGGUGAACGGCGGCCGUAACUAUAACGGUCCUAAGGUAGCGAAAUUCCUUGUCGGGUAAGUUCCGACCCGCACGAAAGGUGUAACGAUCUGGGCGCUGUCUCAACGAGGGACCCGGCGAAAUUGAAGUACCUGUGAAGAUGCAGGUUACCCGCGACUGGACAGAAAGACCCCAUGGAGCUUUACUGUAACCUGGCAUUGUACUUUGAUGCGGCACGUACAGGAUAGGCGGGAGGCUGGGAAGCGCGCGCGCCAGCGCGCGCGGAGCCGGCGUUGGGAUACCGCCCUUGGCGCAUCGGAGUCCUAACCGCGGCGCCUUCAGCGCCCGGGACAUUGCCAGGCGGGCAGUUUGACUGGGGCGGUCGCCUCCGAAAGAGCAACGGAGGCGCCCAAAGGUCCCCUCAGCGCGGACGGAAACCGCGCGCGGAGCGCAAAGGCACAAGGGGGCUUGACUGCGAGACAGACAAGUCGGGCAGGGACGAAAGUCGGGCUUAGUGAUCCGGUGGCGCCGAGUGGAAGGGCCAUCGCUCAACGGAUAAAAGCUACCCUGGGGAUAACAGGCUAAUCUCUCCCAAGAGUCCAUAUCGACGGGGAGGUUUGGCACCUCGAUGUCGGCUCAUCACAUCCUGGGGCUGAAGCGGGUCCCAAGGGUUGGGCUGUUCGCCCAUUAAAGUGGUACGUGAGCUGGGUUCAGAACGUCGUGAGACAGUUCGGUCCCUAUCCAUCGCGGGCGCAAGAGAUUUGAGGGGAUCCGCCCCCAGUACGAGAGGACCGGGGUGGACGGGCCGCUGGUGCACCAGUUGUCCCGCCAGGGGCACCGCUGGGUAGCUACGCCCGGGGAGGAUAAACGCUGAAAGCAUCUAAGCGUGAAACCAGCCCCAAGAUGAGAUCUCCCACGGAGCAGUCCGGAAAGGCGCCUCCGAGACGAGGAGGUCGAUAGGCCGGGAGUGCAAGCGGCGCGAGCCGUUGAGCGGACCGGCACUAAUACGCCGAGGGCUUGAUUUG